CCUACGGGAGGCAGCAGUAGGGAAUAUUGGUAAUGUGCGAAAGCGCGAACCAGCAACGCCGCGUGCGCGAUGAAGGCCUUCGGGUUGUAAAGCGCUUUUUAAGGGGAUGAGGAAGGACAGUACCCUUAGAAUAAGCCUCGGCUAACUACGUGCCAGCAGCCGCGGUAAAACGUAGGAGGCGAGCGUUAUCCGGAUUUACUGGGCGUAAAGCGUGUGUAGGCGGUCUGAUAAGUUGGAUGUGAAAGCUCCUGGCUUAACUGGGAGAGGUCGUUCAAAACUAUCAGACUUGAGAGUGGUAGAGGGAGGUGGAAUUCCGCGUGUAGUGGUGAAAUGCGUAGAUAUGCGGAGGAACACCAGUGGCGAAAGCGGCCUCCUGGCCCAUUUCUGACGCUCAGACACGAAAGCUAAGGCAGCAAACGGGAUUAGAGACCCCGGUAGUCUUAGCUGUAAACGAUGUGAACUUAGUGUCGGUGGGGUUAAAUCCAUCGGUACUGAAGCUAACGCGAUAAGCUCACCGCCUGGGGACUGCGGCCGCAAGGUUAAAACUCAAAGGAAUUGACGGGGCCCCGCACAAGCAGCGGAGCGUGUGGUUUAAUUCGAUGUUACACGAAGAACCUUACCAAGGCUUGACAUGCAAGUGGUAGGAAGCCGAAAGGCCUACGACCCUUCGGGGAGCUAUGAG
This 682-nucleotide ribosomal RNA is filed under the name uncultured bacterium. RNAcentral's name for it is "bacterial SSU rRNA". It matches the Rfam family "Bacterial small subunit ribosomal RNA", at positions 338 to 1034 of the family's 1533-position model. The record is from RNAcentral.